RNAcentral lists this long non-coding RNA (239 nucleotides) under Lathyrus oleraceus (garden pea). Its description in RNAcentral is "Pisum sativum (pea) long non-coding RNA (PSAT_LNC002926)". Lineage: Eukaryota; Viridiplantae; Streptophyta; Magnoliopsida; Fabales; Fabaceae. The record is from RNAcentral.
UAACUCCAUGCUUGGGUGUUGCUAAAAACAUGAGUUCAUGGAUUUGCAGAAAAUCAGUUCAAGGUUGAAGAAGAAGUACUUCAUGCGUGCUUCAAACCUUCAAGCCAAUAGGAUCACGCCAACGCUUUUUUUCAAAUUCAAUAGUCCUUGGCGCCUUUUUCAAAUAUUUCUUUUCUUUUAUUUUUCAUUUUUAUUUCCUUUAUUUCCGAUUUAAUUCUGAUUGAUUUUUAAUUCUUUUU